This 62-nucleotide transfer RNA is filed under the name Cavia porcellus (domestic guinea pig). It matches the Rfam family "tRNA". From Rfam's summary of the family: Transfer RNA (tRNA) molecules are approximately 80 nucleotides in length. Lineage: Eukaryota; Metazoa; Chordata; Mammalia; Rodentia; Caviidae. The record is from Rfam by way of RNAcentral.
GGGGAUUUAGCUCAGCGGCAAGCGCCUGCCUUGCAAGCAGGCAGUCAUGAGUUCAAUCCCUG